GAUGGGAGAUGAUAAGGAAACACAGGACUUUCCAGUGUGCAGUCUUCGAGAAAGGCUGACAGUGUGUCACAUCCCUUGGUGGUGUGAGAAAACAGACCUGAGAAGCAGUGUCUUUGCUCAGUCUCUCCACGUGUUUGUGGCAUGUUCCUCAGCUUGGAACCCCCCUGGGUCCUGGCCUGGUGAUCAUUCCUCCCCAGCUCCCCGACACCUGCUUUCGAUACAGGAAACUUGUCAGGGGUGCACCAACUGUGUUCCGUGUGGUCACAUGACCUGGGUCAGUCUCACGCCAGCCGUUCCCUGGAAGUCACCCGGGGUAGACCGAGUAUCCCCUUUGCACGUGGGGCUGUGCCGACGGAGGCCUUCUUCAGCACG
This 372-nucleotide long non-coding RNA is filed under the name Sus scrofa (pig). RNAcentral describes it as "lncRNA (ENSSSCG00050052326.1)". The record is from RNAcentral. Lineage: Eukaryota; Metazoa; Chordata; Mammalia; Artiodactyla; Suidae.